RNAcentral lists this ribosomal RNA (330 nucleotides) under uncultured bacterium. Its description in RNAcentral is "bacterial SSU rRNA". It matches the Rfam family "Bacterial small subunit ribosomal RNA", at positions 568 to 898 of the family's 1533-position model. The record is from RNAcentral.
UUCGUAGGCGGUGUGGCAAGUCGGGAGUGAAAUCUCUGGGCUCAACCCAGAGGCUGCUUCCGAAACUGCUGUGCUUGAGUGUGAGAGAGGCUCGUGGAAUUGCAGGUGUAGUGGUGAAAUGCGUAGAUAUCUGCAGGAACACCCGUGGCGAAAGCGGCGAGCUGGAUCACUACUGACGCUGAGGAACGAAAGCUAGGGGAGCAAACAGGAUUAGAUACCCUGGUAGUCCUAGCCCUAAACGAUCAGGACUUGGGGUGCCGCCCGUUCGGGCGUCGUCCCGGAGCUAACGCGUUAAGUCCUGCACCUGGGGAGUACGGUCGCAAGACUGAA